Cinara cedri is the source of this 330-nucleotide non-coding RNA. The record is from the annotation of a GenBank genome assembly. NCBI's taxonomy places the organism in Eukaryota, Metazoa, Arthropoda, Insecta, Hemiptera, Aphididae.
UAUUACACUGUAUUGUGUCUGUAUUAUGUAUUUAUUUUUUCCCGCUACUUUUAGAUACUCUUAGCUGCUCCCUCUGGACCAAGUGAGCUAAAACUCGAGAAUUAUAGGUGAAUUGAUGUGAUAAAAGUCGAGUUGAAUAUUUCAAUAUGAAUUUCACCGUGGGUAUCUUUUCAGCUUUAAACACACCUAUACAGUCCCCUUACUCCAAAAUAAAAUCAUAGAGUGUGAUAAAAUGUUAUAUAUGCAUGGGGUUAGAAUCAAGAAUGUGCUUUUAGGGGUUUUCAACUUUUAACCCCCAUACUUCCCCCUUCCACUCGUAUACUUAGGUUU